This 2442-nucleotide long non-coding RNA is filed under the name Nicotiana benthamiana. RNAcentral describes it as "long non-coding RNA (NBEN_LNC034105)". Lineage: Eukaryota; Viridiplantae; Streptophyta; Magnoliopsida; Solanales; Solanaceae. The record is from RNAcentral.
AACAGGAUCAUCAUAUGGAUUUAACUUAUGCUACACUAAAAUAGUAUUAUGGAAAAGUUGAAUUCAAACUCCAAUUUUAUCAGCCUAGUUUUGUUCAAGUUUUUACCUGUUUGAAUGUUUCAUUGCACAUAAGGAUCAUCAGUAAGACUACAUUAAGCUAAGAGGUAUCGAUGCUAAUUACUCACGUAUCCAAUACAACUUGAUAAUUCAAAGUCUAAACCAGGCUAAUUGCUCACAUAUCUAUUUAUUCAUACUUCUAGCUACUCUAACUUAUGAACACAUGUAAUAUGGAAGCAACUGGCAAUUUCAUGAAAGGCUAACUCCAAUUCAACCAAUCUAUUAUAUUGAAGUAAUUAUAGUCAGUCCAAUAAUAGUCCAACAGUCCUUUUACAGUCCAAUUAAUCAAAAUAUAACAACGCAACUAAACAAAAACAUAUGACAAUUAAGCCUAAUUAAACUUCCGUUUCAUUUCAUUUUCACAAACUGGGAGUCUACAUCUCAAUGAACAAAGGAAGCGUACCUGGAAUCAGAACACAAAACGAAGAAGGGUGGAAGUCAGUUGAAGCAGUAGUGAACAACAAAGAUCCACGGCCUAGAAAUAAAUUCAAUCCAGUAAAAUCCAGAAUCAAACAGAAAAUAUAAGAGUGAACUUCAAAUAAGCUUGCAAUCAAACACAAGCACUUCAGAAAACACCCAGCAAUCAAAAAACAACUAAGCAGUAACUCAACUAGACCCCAAUCUGACUCCUAAGACCAAAUCCAAGUAGUUUCAGAAAUCCAACUGUCAAAUACUGAACUAAAAGAGGUAAACUAACACUAAACUCGACUUUGGAUUGCAAAAAUCCAAUGGAACAGUGCUCUCAAUAUCUUUUGAUCUCUAAACUCUCUUCUCACUUUCAGAUUAUAUUUUUCUCAAAACUCAAUGUGUUUUUCAAGCUCUCUUAAUGUUCUUCUCUUCCUUUUUCUCUAUUUUCAGAAUGUAUUCUUUGUGUUCUCUCACCUCUUUCUCAAUGUCUCUUCCUUUUUUGGACUCUCUCCCCCUUUUUCUCUAUCAGAAUGUUCUCCAUUUAAAGAUCAAGUUUGCUCCUUUUUCUAAUUUCCAGCAUAAAAGUGCUAAGCUAACCAACCAAUCCACUUUUUCUUUUUGAAAAAAACCAUUCCACUUAACUCAAUUAGUGUAUUUCUAACCCUACGAUGUGCUAGCAGCUUCUUAAGUAGGUGAGAUACACCUUUUUAUUAAACAAAUCUCAGGCUAAUUCAACCAAAAAGGGUUCAGGUCUAUAUAAUCAAUCCAAAUCCCUUUUAAUAUGAUCUAACACAUCAAAAAUAGAUCUGGUUUAACAGAAUUACACACAAAUUCACCAACGAUUCAAGUGUUCUGUUUUUAAUGAUUGAGCAAAUCAUAUCAAUCAACAAAAACUCAGGACAAAUACCGUUUGGGAUUCUUUCAUGCACAAUAAAAGUAAACAAUAAGAGAAAAAGCACGGGGAUGAACCUGAAUGCGAACCAUUUCAAUUUAGCAUGUUUAGAUGUGAAUACAAGCAGAGGAAAAACUUAACAGUGAACUCCAAAAGACCAGAAAUAGCUAUCAAAAUCCCUAAUUAAAUUGGAACCGCUACGGAAUCCACAAUGAACAGCAAUGAUGACAAACUCGAACCAUGAAACUUGAAUCGACAAAAAUCUCAAACACAAAUCGGAACAGGAAAUCUAUCAACGAGACUCGAUCUUGACAGGGAUUCGUAACCUCGCAGCGAAACUCAAACAAACUCAACAAACAACUUCGACAUACGACUCGACGACAACCUCCUCCCAAAUAUGAAAACACUCAAACCACAAAUAUUUUAUUCACAAUGUAACUUCAAAUUCACGUCAUCAAAACCAUAAAAUUAAAAGGAGAUAGCAAUUAACAGUACCGAGGACUUCAUAAACAAACCAUCGUAAAUAAACAAAAAUAGAACAUGUAAAUGAAUGAAACAAAGCUCAGACCUUGAACCGAAAAUAGAGAAUAAUGAUCUCAAAGCGAACCUCGACGGAACCUCAUCAGAUCGGUGUCCUGACUCUCAAAUGGAGACGUCGUCUCGAAUUUACUAAAAAAUGAGGACCUCGAACACAAAUUCGACCAGAUUUGGGUAGCGAUUUCGAGCUGGUUCCACGUUAAUUUGGUGUAGCUUCAGAGAGUUUCGAAGAGGACGAAGUUAGGGGACUGGGUUCGUGUUCUCUGUUAAAGAUGAUGUUGCUUCAUCUUGGGUGAAUAUAGGGUUGUUUGGCGUGAAGUGAAGGAGAGAACAGGGGUCAUUCGGGUUCAAGGGUGGGCUGUCCGCGACGUGAAGAUGGCCAGCGGGGAGGGGGUUGGUCGAAGAAGAUAGAGACGACGCGGGGUCCGUGGGGGAUCUUUAGAUUUAGGGUUUGUUUUGUUUUGUUUUGUUUUGCUAAUAGGUGGGGC